AACGAACGCUGGCGGCAUGCCUAACACAUGCAAGUCGAACGAGACCUUCGGGUCUAGUGGCGCACGGGUGCGUAACGCGUGGGAACCUGCCCUUAGGUUCGGAAUAACUCCCCGAAGGGGGUGCUAAUACCGGAUAAUGUCUUCGGACCAAAGAUUUAUCGCCUUUGGAUGGGCCCGCGUUGGAUUAGCUUGUUGGUAGGGUAAAAGCCUACCAAGGCGACGAUCCAUAGCUGGUCUGAGAGGAUGAUCAGCCACACUGGGACUGAGACACGGCCCAGACUCCUACGGGAGGCAGCAGUGAGGAAUAUUGGACAAUGGGCGAAAGCCUGAUCCAGCAAUGCCGCGUGAGUGAUGAAGGCCUUAGGGUUGUAAAGCUCUUUUACCCGGGAUGAUAAUGACAGUACCGGGAGAAUAAGCUCCGGCUAACUCCGUG
This 433-nucleotide ribosomal RNA is filed under the name uncultured bacterium. Its description in RNAcentral is "partial 16S ribosomal RNA". It matches the Rfam family "Bacterial small subunit ribosomal RNA", at positions 29 to 507 of the family's 1533-position model. The record is from RNAcentral.